Non-coding RNA from Myotis lucifugus (little brown bat), 174 nucleotides. The record is from Rfam. NCBI's taxonomy places the organism in Eukaryota, Metazoa, Chordata, Mammalia, Chiroptera, Vespertilionidae.
AUUGCUUCUCAGCCUUUUGGCUAAUAUCAAGUAUAGAGAUCUGCUCUUGUCAGUUUAACAUUUGAUACAGACUCUAUUUGAGUACAUAUCAAAUGGAUUUUUAGAACAGGGAGAUGGACUAGGAGCUUGCUCUGUCCAUGCUAUUGCAGUAUCUUCAGGAACAGUGCACUCCUU